Molecule: ribosomal RNA, 253 nt
Filed under: uncultured bacterium
Lineage: Bacteria
Description: partial 16S ribosomal RNA
Rfam family: Bacterial small subunit ribosomal RNA
Source: RNAcentral
GACGAAGGGGGCUAGCGUUGUUCGGAAUUACUGGGCGUAAAGGGCUCGUAGGUGGCCAACUAAGUCAGACGUGAAAUCCCUCGGCUUAACCGGGGAACUGCGUCUGAUACUGGAUGGCUUGAGUUCGGGAGAGGGAUGCGGAAUUCCAGGUGUAGCGGUGAAAUGCGUAGAUAUCUGGAGGAACACCGGUGGCGAAGGCGGCAUCCUGGACCGACACUGACACUGAGGAGCGAAAGCCAGGGGAGCAAACGGG